Molecule: ribosomal RNA, 253 nt
Filed under: uncultured bacterium
Lineage: Bacteria
Description: partial 16S ribosomal RNA
Rfam family: Bacterial small subunit ribosomal RNA
Source: RNAcentral
GACAGAGGUGCCGAGCGUUAGGCGGAAUCACUGGGCUUAAAGCGUGUGUAGGCGGAUUUGUAAGUACCUUGUGAAAUCCCACGGCUCAACCGUGGAACUGCUUGGUAUACUGCUUAUCUUGGGUCAUCUAGGGGCGAGCGGAACAAACGGUGGAGCGGUGAAAUGCGUAGAUAUCGUUUGGAACGCCAAUGGUGAAAACAGCUCGCUGGGGAUGUACCGACGCUGAGACACGAAAGCCAGGGGAGCGAACGGG